AUGUAAUCGUACAUAUUUCAUUGAACGAGCGCGAUACAGAGAAAAUUAGCAUGAUCCAGUGCAAAAAUGACAUGCGUAAAUCGAAAAAUGGUGUUUUUUUUU
This is a small nuclear RNA of Solanum dulcamara, 102 nucleotides long. Lineage: Eukaryota; Viridiplantae; Streptophyta; Magnoliopsida; Solanales; Solanaceae. The record is from RefSeq and is a predicted model, not a curated record.